AAUGAGACCUGUGUGCCAACCCUGGCCUAGUCCUCAUGCCCCCACAACUGUGAAGCGAGAGGGCUCAACAGUUUCGAAUUCAAUUCAACCACCACCUCCUGAAUACCAACUAGGUUCCAGGACCUGGCUAGAAGCAGAGACACCAGGACAGAAAAGAUAGUGUUCUGCCUUCAUGGAGUUCACAGAAGAGUCGAGGAGACACAGCUGGAUCCUCCCUGUUUACCCCAGUGGAUGCUAAAUGCUUUGGUGAAGAGGAGACAUCCCUGCACAAAGCAGAGCUGUGGAUUCUCUGACCUCCUUGAAGACUCUCUUCUGAGCUGCAGUGGACAUUUGCCAUAUUUUUAUUAAUGGGUGUCUGUCAUCAAAUAUCCCUCUGUAAGGGUUGGUCACUGUUGUGGCUUCUCUCGAUGUGAGGUCGGACUCACCUUCCAUAUCAAAAGUGGACAAAAUCACACUCACACUCUCUUUUUCACACAUAAACACACAACCCUGGCACAAUCUGAGGGUCAGUAACUGACUUUGGCUCAGCCCACCAAGUGGUCUUUCCCUGAAGUGUGAAUCUCAGGGAAGCAAUACAAAAACAGGCAGGGGGUGGGUGGCUACCUCUGGAGACAGCUGGAGGUCGUCCUUUCAAAAGCAGGCUGGCGGGCACGCUGACCAAACUACUCCUGCCAAGGAGCCAUUGCUGUGGUUCCUUUGGACUGGCCUUCUGACUCUCCCCUAAUUUCUACUCAUUUCUAAGGUUAAUUCUCUUUACUCUCCAACCACUCCAAUACAUUUCCUUCCAUUUAUGUUCUCUAGAGUCUGUUUUCAUUGCUGACACCUAAGAUGGUGCAUAAUUAUAAGCCAGUGUGAUUUCAUUUCCUAUCAGAAGCCUUCGAAAAAAAUGGCUCUCAAGCAGUAUCUCAGACACCCAAAUCCAAGGCUUUACUUUGGUGGCCAUGGAAAGACACCUGAAUGGGUGGGCGUGGGAAUAGGGUAAGAGAAGUAGAAAAGAGGAAGGGAAAAGAGAAAGUACUGCAUAUUUCAUACCUACUAUAGUCUAGGACUGAGGAUACAGCAAUGAUCAACAUAGGCAGAGGCUCUAACAGAUGCCAGGAGCCAGCUAGGCAUUUGUCCGGCUAUCUUAUGAUAAUAUUAUAGGGAGGGAGGUGCUCCCAUACCCCAAGUGGGAAGAGUGCGGCUCAGUGAGGCUGAGAAACUUGCCCUGGGUCACACAGCAGAUGACUAUUGGAGCUGGAAUCUGAACCACAUCUCAUUCCUACCAUAUCUGCUGUUUCCACUACAUAAAUUUGUUAAACAAUGGUGGGUAAACCAUGCACCUUUUUUUCUUUUCGUAUUUUGAUUUCAGUGUUGUAUCCAUGAUUUGGAAUGAGCCCACCUGAGCCUAAUGAUGCGACGAGAUCAUUGGAUUAUAUAUGUAUUUACUUUAAAAACACAAGGUAGAAAACUUUACUGAGUCCAUGAAAAGAAAAGCUGGAGGCACGUCAAAGCCUGUUUUGAUUUAAGUGGAAUAGAUCCAGCUUGAGUGUAAAUUCGAGACUGUGUUUGCUUGUGUCACACUCUAUUUUCAAAUUACUUUCAUAUGUCCUGUUUCAUUUAUUUCCCCCAGUUCUGGAUGGGAAAACUGAGGCCUGGGACUUGAAAUAACAGAUGUAUGUUUGUACAGCAAAUUAUCAUGAGAGCCAAAACUCAAACCCAUACUCUCUCACCGAACCCCACUGCUUCUUUCAGCACACAAUAAUUAUUAUUAUGCCAAGUAAGUUUAACAAGGUGACUUGGAUCGAUUCAUUCUGAUGAUUUGAGUUGGCUCCUGGGAUCAUCUGUGUAAAUAUUAGGCCCACAUCUCUUUCCAAACAUAUUCCAUCUCUCUCUCUCUUUGGUUUUUUUCUUUUUUCUACAUUUUCACCUCUGCUCCCUCAUCAUACCUCCCUCCCUUUCUCUGUUAAACUCCUCCCCUUCUCUUCUUUCCUCCCUUCCUCUCAUCCUCUCACCCACAAAAACAUUUGUUUGUCUUACAUAGGGAUAGUGUCAUGUGACUGGGUGGCUGAAAGGAGAAGUAUCUUUUAAGCUCCUGGAAGCAGAAUAUUUUCUUAUGGAUUUUUUAUUGUUUGGAUUGUUUUGCCAGGCUAAUGAAAGAAGACUCUGAGGUCCCCUUAUCUCAGGCCAACUAGAGGAUGCCUUCAAGUUUUUGUUUUUCUUCCCAAGCUGGUUCCUUACAAAUGCAUCCAGAAGGUCAUUCCCAGGUCCCCAAGAUAGUGGUGGGUAAUCAAUCACAUCCAGGACAUCAGCAUCACAGCAGAUAAGCUCAUGCAUGGGAGGAUUUGGGAAAGGAGAGAGGGGAGCCUAAACUAUCCCUGAACCAUGUGCUCCAGCAAAGGCAAGUGGAGGGAUUACUUUUUCUAGGAGUUCACUGGGACAGCCACAAGUAUAUUCUAGCUCCAAUGACCAUUCUUCCCUUUUGAUUUUUGACUCAAAACAAAUAAAAAUACACAUACAUAAAAUCCUUAAACAUUUCCUAUAUAAUCUGAUAAUUGCAAUUCAGCAAGCAAUAAAGAUUGUGUGAUUGUGUUUAACAGCUCCAAGGGCUGGGUCCACACAGGGCCCCCAGGCAAUAACUAAUCCCUCUGAAACAAACAGAGAGGACUCCAGACCUGGCUUUGCCAAGGACAAGUUUUGUAAGCCUAUUUAAGUCACCUGACUUCUCUAGGCCUCAGAUUCCUCAGCUAUAAAAUAAUGAGCUAGUUUAUUAUUUCAACCAAUGCUUAUUAAACAUCCACUUUGUGUCAGGCUUUGUGCAAGAAGCUGGAAAUAUUUUUAAAGUAUAGACACAGUAUCUGUUCUCAGGGUCUCAGUGUUUAAUGCGGGAAAAGAUGCAUCAUAAGAGAAAAGUGCUGUGGACGGGCAAAGGCAAAAACAACUCAGCCCAGGAGCUUAUCUUUAGGAUUCUUCCCAACCCCAAAAGUCUACGUGUAUGGCAUUUUUUUGUCUGUUCAUUUUGUUUUGGUUGUCUUUUCACAUGAAUGUUAUUUCAUUCUUUCUUGACUAGUUGUUUUCAAACCAUUGUUGCAUUGUUGUCAUUAUCAACCAUUACCAAUUACUAAACACAUACUGUUACCCCAAAUAUUGUAAUUACCCCAACUGUUGGUAAUUACCCCAACGACUCUAAAAGUUAGACAUUAUAAUCACUAUUUUUUAUAUAAUAACACUGAAGCCCAGAGAGUUUAAGUAACUUACCCAAGUUCACAUCGCUAGAAAGUUACGGAACUGGGAUUGGAGUUGACCCCUGUCAACUCCAAAGUACAUGCUCUUUCUACUACUUGGUGUUGCCUUAGGUAUAUGUAGCCACUUAGGACAAACAUCAUUUACAGGAGCAGGUGUGAAAUAAAAAUAUGAGGCCCUUUGUUCAAAUAUUAUUGAAAAUUUCAAGAUAGCAACAGCAAAGCAUUAAACAAAGCACAAGGCCUGUCUAAGCACAGAGCUCUGAAUGACUGCCCAUGUUGCAAACCCAGGAAUCCAGCCCUGCCAGCCACAAUUCAGUUUGCAAUGGCAUCUCCCAUGGAAGCAGAAAAGCUUCAUAGCAAUUUGCAGGCCCAGAUCACACUCGCAGAAUGUUUCAGUGAUCAUGCUUCACAUGUAGGAUUUCUGGCAUUACCCAGAGGGUUCAUUGUGAACCACCUGGCAGGACUUGGGGGCUCUGUGUGGUAGCUUUUUCAGAGUAGCCCUGGCACCUAACCUAAAGAAUAUUAAUAUCAUUUCUGGUAAUGCCAAUUACUUUUAUUUAUUUUUUUUUAGAUGGAGUUUUGCUCUUGUUGCCAGGCUAGAGUGCAAUGGCACAAUCUCAGCUCACCACAACCUCCGCCUCCCAGGUUCAAGUGAUUCUCCUGCCUCAGCCUCCAGAGUAGCUGGGAUUACAGGCAUGUGCCACCACACCUGGCUAAUUUUGUAUUUUUAGUAGAGACAAGGUUUCUCCACAUUGGUCAGGCUGGUCUCGAACUCCUGACCUCAGGUGAUCCGACCACCUCGACCUCCCAAAGUGCUGGGAUUACGGGCGUGAACCACUGCGCCCGGCCAGCCAAUUACUUUUUUUAAUGUGGGGAAAGGUAUAUAAUCUUGCUGAAAGAGUUUUGCUCCGUGCGAUGGCUCAUACCUGUAAUCCCAGUAUUUUGGGAGGCUGAGGCAGGAGGAUGGCUUGAGCCCAAGAGUUUGAGACCAGCCUGGGAAACAGAGACCCCUGUCUCUACAAAAAAUACAAAAAAUUAGCCAGGCAUGGUGGUAUGUACCUGUAGUAGGAGGCUGAGCUGGGAGGAUCACUUGAGCCUGGGAGGUUGAGGCCACAGUAAGCCAUGAUCAUGCCACUGCACUCCAGCCUGAGUGACAGAGUAAAGAAAAAAAAAGAGUUCUGGUCAUACCCUCACACCCUUACUCUUACAUUUAGAACAUUUAGAACAUUAAUGCUGCAUAAAUGGAACAUGUCCAAAAGCCUCUUAGGAUGCAAGCCUCUUUUGAAAUUGCAAACUGGGACCAGUACGUGUGCCCUAAUAGAGGGCAGUAGGAAAAAAAGCAACAAGAGCUUUGCAGCUGCUGGAUUACGAACCUCUCUACUGAGGCACUAACUCCUAUUAAGGUGUUAGCUCCUACUGACCCAGCAGAGGCUGAGUAAAGAUUGUCAAUUUGGUCAAUGAUUCUUAAUCAGUGGUAUUUAAUCUUUUGAGAUCACAGACCCCUUCUUUGAAAAGUAUGAACCGUCUCCCCAGAAAAAAGACAGGUGUAUGUAAAAUAUUCUUGCAUUCAAUUGUAGACUCUCUGCCUUAGCCCUAGAUUUUUUAAACCCGUAUUUUAAAGCAUGGCUCCCCUAAUUAUAGAAUUGUCAGAGGCGUCUGAACCAGAGCAACUCCAUCUUGAGUAGGGGCUGGGUAAAAUAAGGCUGAGACCUACUGGGCUGCAUUCCCAGACGGUUAGGCAUUCUAAGUCACAGGAUGAGAUAGGAGGUCAGCCAAGAUACAGGUCAUCAAGACCUUGCUGAUAAAAUAGGUUGCAGUAAAGAAGCCAGCUGAAACCCACCAAAACCAAGAUGGCCAUGAGAGUGACCUCUGGUUGUCCUCACUGCUACACUCCCACCAGCACCAUGACAGUUUACAAAUGCCAUGGCAAUGUCAGGAAGUUACCCUAUAUGGUCUAAAAGGGGAGGCAUGAAUAAUCCACCCCUUGUUUAGCAUAUAAUCAAGAAAUAACCAUAAAAAUAGGCAACCAGAAGCCUUCUGUCAGUGGAGUAGCCAUUCCUUUAUUCCUUUACUUUCUUAAUAAACUUGCUUUCACUUUA
Molecule: small RNA, 5323 nt
Filed under: Pan troglodytes (chimpanzee)
Lineage: Eukaryota; Metazoa; Chordata; Mammalia; Primates; Hominidae
Description: retained intron
Source: RNAcentral